RNAcentral lists this ribosomal RNA (454 nucleotides) under uncultured Comamonas sp. RNAcentral's name for it is "bacterial SSU rRNA". It matches the Rfam family "Bacterial small subunit ribosomal RNA", at positions 924 to 1382 of the family's 1533-position model. Lineage: Bacteria; Pseudomonadati; Pseudomonadota; Betaproteobacteria; Burkholderiales; Comamonadaceae. The record is from RNAcentral.
CACAAGCGGUGGAUGAUGUGGUUUAAUUCGAUGCAACGCGAAAAACCUUACCCACCUUUGACAUGUACGGAAUCCUUUAGAGAUAGAGGAGUGCUCGAAAGAGAACCUGCACACAGGUGCUGCAUGGCUGUCGUCAGCUCGUGUCGUGAGAUGUUGGGUUAAGUCCCGCAACGAGCGCAACCCUUGCCAUUAGUUGCUACGAAAGGGCACUCUAAUGGGACUGCCGGUGACAAACCGGAGGAAGGUGGGGAUGACGUCAAGUCCUCAUGGCCCUUAUAGGUGGGGCUACACACGUCAUACAAUGGCCGGUACAGAGGGUAGCCAACCCGCGAGGGGGAGCCAAUCCCACAAAGCCGGUCGUAGUCCGGAUCGCAGUCUGCAACUCGACUGCGUGAAGUCGGAAUCGCUAGUAAUCGCGGAUCAGCAUGUCGCGGUGAAUACGUUCCCGGGUCUU